GACGAACGCUGGCGGCGUGCUUAACACAUGCAAGUCGAGCGGUAAGGCCCUUUCGGGGGUACACGAGCGGCGAACGGGUGAGUAACACGUGGGUGACCUGCCCUCAGCUCUGGGAUAAGCCUGGGAAACCGGGUCUAAUACCGGAUAUGACUCCAUGACGCAUGUUGUGGGGUGGAAAGCCUUGUGCGGCUGAGGAUGGGGCCCGCGGCCUAUCAGCUUGUUGGUGGGGUGANGGCCUACCAAGGCGACGACGGGUAGCCGGCCUGAGAGGGCGACCGGCCACACUGGGACUGAGACACGGCCCAGACUCCUACGGGAGGCAGCAGUGGGGAAUCUUGCGCAAUGGGCGAAAGCCUGACGCAGCGACGCCGCGUGAGGGAUGACGGCCUGGUU
Molecule: ribosomal RNA, 393 nt
Filed under: uncultured bacterium
Lineage: Bacteria
Description: bacterial SSU rRNA
Rfam family: Bacterial small subunit ribosomal RNA
Source: RNAcentral